This 352-nucleotide unclassified non-coding RNA is filed under the name soil metagenome. RNAcentral's name for it is "partial contains 5.8S ribosomal RNA, internal transcribed spacer 2, and large subunit ribosomal RNA". The stretch from base 1 to 120 matches the Rfam family "5.8S ribosomal RNA", at positions 35 to 154 of the family's 154-position model. The record is from RNAcentral.
GAUGAAGAACGUAGCGAAAUGCGAUAAGUAAUGUGAAUUGCAGAAUUCAGUGAAUCAUCGAAUCUUUGAACGCACAUUGCGCCCGCCAGUAUUCUGGCGGGCAUGCCUGUUCGAGCGUCAUUACAACCCUCAGGCCCCCGGGCCUGGCGUUGGGGAUCGGCGGAGCCCCCCGUGGGCACACGCCGUCCCCCAAAUGCAGUGGCGGUCCCGCCGCAGCUUUCAUCGCGUAGUAGCUAACACCUCGCGACUGGAGAGCGGCGCGGCCACGCCGUAAAACACCCAACUCUUCUGAAGUUGACCUCGAAUCAGGUAGGAAUACCCGCUGAACUUAAGCAUAUCAAUAAGCGGAGGA